CUCUUAAUUUCACAUCGCUCCAAAUCUCCAAUAUAGUUAGGGUUUUGAUCUAAUGAGGAGGUAAUCCCCCAAAGCUAAUUUCCUCUUCCGUUCAACCCCAACAUCCUUCAGAUUUUCCUCUUCCGGUUAACCCCCCAAAAUCGCAGGUCCUGGCCGAAGAUGAUGACGAUCUGUUAGAUCCGAGUCUAUUGGAGGUUAUGAUGAUCGGAGAAAACACAACCUCAGUUGUCGGAGAUUUGAACCUCUUCGAAUAAAUCGAUCCUUUUUUCUGGAACCUCUGUUGGAGGUUAUUAAUUUUCAGUCAGUGGAUAUGAAUUUCUCACUAAUGUUGAUACGCUAACUCAUAGGGAGCCUCAGUCGAUGCUUGCUGCCAUGUUCAGUGGUCGCCACACUGUUUACAAAGACCCUGAGAAAGGGUAUGUGUUUGUUGACCGGGAUGGGAUGCACUUUCGGCAUAUUUUAAAUUGGUUGACGGACGGUGUGGCUCCCAUUUCCAACUUGUCUGAUUUAGAGUGUUCAGAGCUUUUGCGGGAAGCAGAAUACUAUCAGCUUCUUGUAAGUCAACUAGGCUCGUUUACCCCUGUAUUUGCAAGCGUCAUACUGAUUGUUGCUUUUAUUGCUUAGAGUUAGUGUUAAUUGACUGAACACUUCCUCUU
Helianthus annuus (common sunflower) is the source of this 656-nucleotide long non-coding RNA. RefSeq lists it as uncharacterized. The record is from RefSeq and is a predicted model, not a curated record. Lineage: Eukaryota; Viridiplantae; Streptophyta; Magnoliopsida; Asterales; Asteraceae. The transcript has 3 exons.